GAUGAACGCUGGCGGCGUGCUUAACACAUGCAAGUCGAACGGAAAGGCCCAAGCUUGCUUGGGUGCUCGAGUGGCGAACGGGUGAGUAACACGUGGGUGAUCUGCCCUGCACUUUGGGAUAAGCCUGGGAAACUGGGUCUAAUACCGGAUAGGACCAUCGUUUAGUGUCGGUGGUGGAAAGUUUUUCGGUGUGGGAUGAGCUCGCGGCCUAUCAGCUUGUUGGUGGGGUAAUGGCCUACCAAGGCGUCGACGGGUAGCCGGCCUGAGAGGGUGUACGGCCACAUUGGGACUGAGAUACGGCCCAGACUCCUACGGGAGGCAGCAGUGGGGAAUAUUGCACAAUGGGCGCAAGCCUGAUGCAGCGACGCCGCGGGGGGGAUGACGGCCUUCGGGUUGUAAACUCCUUUCGCCAAGGACGAAGCGUUUUGUGACGGUACUUGGAGAAGAAGCACCGGCUAACUACGUG
Molecule: ribosomal RNA, 466 nt
Filed under: uncultured bacterium
Lineage: Bacteria
Description: partial 16S ribosomal RNA
Rfam family: Bacterial small subunit ribosomal RNA
Source: RNAcentral